Long non-coding RNA from Anopheles merus, 2729 nucleotides. RefSeq lists it as uncharacterized. The transcript has 3 exons. Lineage: Eukaryota; Metazoa; Arthropoda; Insecta; Diptera; Culicidae. The record is from RefSeq and is a predicted model, not a curated record.
UGGCGCAAAAGACUUUGAUAACAAGUGUGUUUUCUAAUUCUCAUUAACUUUAUGCACCUUUGUGGACAAUUUUGUUUCAAUGAUGCAGGGUAUAGUUCUAUUGUUGCAAUUAUUCAAUUUUAGCAGUGAUAUUGUUGUUGUGUGCUUAUUAUGUGUGCUUAGAGUGCUUUCCGUGUUGGUAUUAUUGCUAUUGCCGUUGGAGAAGUGGUUUCAUAUGCGAUCUUAUCGCUCGUUGUGAUUAGGUCUGGACGGGAAUACAAACAAACAAAAAAGCAUAUUUGUGUCUUCCAGAUUGAUACACUAGAUAUGUGAUGUGUGCGAUAUGAUUCAACAUGAGUCCAGACAUCGCCCAAUAGGAAAUAUAGAGAAAAGAACUCGGACAUACUAUGCUAUCGAGACAGAAAAUGUUGUUAUAGAAAACGUAGAAACUUAAAAUGAACUGACAGCUAAAAAGAGGCGAAGGCUCUUCCGCAAUCGCACAAAAAACAUUCUUAUUGCUAGCAAAGCCACAACUAGAAGGGGGUUAUCUGUAACGAAUGGUUCUGUAGGCAGUUGCUGGCCGAUCUGAGGUUUAUGCCCCAAAACUUUCGGAUCUUCCGAAAGCGCAUCAUUUACCUUGUCAGGUGUCUUACGUUAUUUUAUCUGAAGCGUUAUGCCCUUAAAUGUAUUUCACUGUUUCUAAGUAACUGACAUCUAUUAAUCAAAAGUGUUCACACAGUUCGUUACAUGACCUGUUUUGUUUCAUUUUGGUACCUUUUGCAGAAGCAUAGAAGAGUUAGGUCUGUGGAUGGUUAAUUUGUGGAGUUUCUCGAACCACCUCGAACCAAAUUGUAUUGCUAUGCGGGUUACUAAAGAAGCGAUCGAAUGUCAUACAAAAAUGACCAUGGGAUGUUGCAUAGCAAUACACAUGAGCCAUUAGUUACACAUUGUUGCAUACAAUAAAAGUCUUGCCGGAUGUGUAACUGCGGAUUGGAGUUGUGCACUAUAGUCGCACGAUUAUAAGAUCGCUAUGCGAAUGGAAGUUGCUGGCCACUUUUUUCAAUGUCUUUGACAGCGAAUGUAACUCCGUUGCUUGUCAAAUAGAAAAUCGUAUAAAAUCGAUCUUAAUGGUUAGAAAUUUGUAACAUUUUUUCAUAUCGUUUUAAAGUAAUCAUCUCACAAUAUGAUCAUAUGUUUGGUGAUAGUGCAGACGUACUUGUUUAUCGGUGUAGAAGUCUUCGUUACAAGGUACGAUAAGGAGAUUAUCAAGAAGUAGUUUUUGAAAGAUUUACCCUUUGAUGAAUUUGUGCUGAUGGACAGCUUCUUCCUUAUGUAGUUUACAACGGUUGCAAUCGAAAAUCGAAGGACUAAAGAAAUGUUUAAGUGAGUUUUACUAAUUAGGGACUCAGGGAUUUUAGACAGCAAUAUUUUUAAAAGACACAUAAGACACAGAUAGCGGCUAUGAUGUUCAAAUUUAAUUCAAUAUAUUUAUUUAUUUUUUUCAAAUUUCAAUAAUUCAUUGGUUGUACCAUAUUUAUAUUGUUUUACUUAAUGAAUAUUUUUCUUAAUGAAACUGUCCAUAGUAAGUUGUUUUGUCGAGCUUAUGUUGUCUUUACUAGUUAAAAUGGCCCGCUUACAGGGCAACGCAACGUUUAUUGGGACAUAUACGUCUUUUCAACGAUAUAAGAAUUGCACUUCAAAUAAUCAUUUUGUCAUUCCUUUGUCCUGUGUAAUCCUCUGUAUCCUCUGUAAAAGAUUUUUUCGUGUGCUAAUAUUAUUUAUAACAAACAUUGCAGUGUAUAGGAUUUGAUCCUUCACAAACACAAUACCCUAAAUUUGCCCCCCAGCAUGCUCCGCCGGAUGCACUGCUGCAGGACCUGGAUAUUGGUACCAAACAAAACGAUUGGCAGUAUCUGUCGAAAGUCGCCACAUACCAGCACCUAUAACGUCCUGCAGGGCGUGAUCGAGGGCGCGAUCUUCUAUAGCAGGGGUCUCCAAACUACGGCCCACGGGCCACAUGCGGCCCUCGAGAGCCUAUUAUUAGCAUCCCGUUUACGCAAUAAUAGUUUCGAACAGAAACGGCUUCCCGGUGCUACCAAAGUUCUGUCAAAGAAAAAGUUCUGUCCAUGUUUAUCCUCUCGGCUGGAUUGUUCUGUUAAACCGUAACUAUCCACUGUUGCGGUAAUUACAUCGUAAUUCAUUAUUCGUUGUUCAAACGGUUCACGUAUACUAAUAUGUUGUCCAGCUCCGCGUCCACUAGGGAAAAUAUUUCGGCAACGGAUAAGGCGCAUUGUAGCAGGUCUGGUCCUAUCUGCAUAAAGUCGGAUAACUGCGGCAAACUCGGAAACAUCGUCAGCGUCUUCUGCGGCGCUAUUUCGCUCAGGUGCUGAUCAAUGAGUCGCAGCACUUCGAGGCGCUUGAGCUGUCAAGCAGCCGAUUCUGCUCGGAGUGUGAACGGUGCACCGGCUCUGAUUUCGCAGACUUUCAGAAAUUCGGUUCACGUUUGCGUCCUACAAUAAAAGAGGAUUCGGGGACAUUCCCUCCGACAAUAUAAGGGAAAAUAGGUGACGCAGAUGUUGAGCAUUCCAAAUGAAACUGCUUCCUGUAGGGUCCUGGAUAUUUUGGUGUCGUCCCGCAGAAAUCCAGACAUCAACAGUACACCAUGCGGUCAAUAACGAUAUCAGUCUGGCAGCGAUGUGUGAUCCACUGGUUACCCGUACCAACAUACCAUGGAAGCUGCUGCAAUUAAU